Molecule: non-coding RNA, 108 nt
Organism: Vigna radiata var. radiata (mung bean)
Lineage: Eukaryota; Viridiplantae; Streptophyta; Magnoliopsida; Fabales; Fabaceae
Source: Rfam
AUCUGAUGGUGGGGACAGCUUGCACGCAGUGUCUUGAAUCUCUCCCAAUACUCAUACAAGCUUUCUCCACCAAGCUGCCUAAUCCCAGUGAUGUCUUUCCUGAUAGCU